Molecule: long non-coding RNA, 335 nt
Filed under: Mus spicilegus (steppe mouse)
Lineage: Eukaryota; Metazoa; Chordata; Mammalia; Rodentia; Muridae
Description: lncRNA (ENSMSIG00000014924.1)
Source: RNAcentral
AUGUAAACUAAAAGCCAGGCACCAUGGAAAGAGGCUCAAGGCCACAGGCGCACCUCAAGAUAACUCAGUACCAGUAAUGGUCCAGUGGAUCACUGAAUGCUGCACCUGAGCUGGCCUAAGAACGCCUCAGUGUUGCUUACUGAUGAACAGAAUUGGAAAUCCUCACACUACAACAGGUGACCGUGGAGACAGUCAACCCUGCCAUUCAACAUGGGAGAAAGGACUGCUCACUUGACUUCUCAGGCUAAGGAGUUGUUUGGGCCGUGAUCCGCACCGCUUUGACCCUUCGUGCAUAAAGAACAGCUAACAGAAUUCUUGCCUGAAGGAACAUUAGG